RNAcentral lists this ribosomal RNA (1017 nucleotides) under uncultured bacterium. Its description in RNAcentral is "bacterial SSU rRNA". It matches the Rfam family "Bacterial small subunit ribosomal RNA", at positions 355 to 1375 of the family's 1533-position model. The record is from RNAcentral.
UGAGGAAUAUUGGUCAAUGGGCGCAGGCCUGAACCAGCCAAGUAGCGUGAAGGAUGACUGCCCUAUGGGUUGUAAACUUCUUUUGUAUGGGAAUAAAGUUUUCCACGUGUGGAAUUUUGUAUGUACCAUAUGAAUAAGGAUCGGCUAACUCCGUGCCAGCAGCCGCGGUAAUACGGAGGAUCCGAGCGUUAUCCGGAUUUAUUGGGUUUAAAGGGAGCGUAGGUGGACAGUUAAGUCAGUUGUGAAAGUUUGCGGCUCAACCGUAAAAUUGCAGUUGAUACUGGCUGUCUUGAGUACAGUAGAGGUGGGCGGAAUUCGUGGUGUAGCGGUGAAAUGCUUAGAUAUCACGAAGAACUCCGAUUGCGAAGGCAGCUCACUGGACUGCAACUGACACUGAUGCUCGAAAGUGUGGGUAUCAAACAGGAUUAGAUACCCUGGUAGUCCACACAGUAAACGAUGAAUACUCGCUGUUUGCGAUAUACAGUAAGCGGCCAAGCGAAAGCAUUAAGUAUUCCACCUGGGGAGUACGCCGGCAACGGUGAAACUCAAAGGAAUUGACGGGGGCCCGCACAAGCGGAGGAACAUGUGGUUUAAUUCGAUGAUACGCGAGGAACCUUACCCGGGCUUAAAUUGCAUUUGAAUAUAUUGGAAACAGUAUAGUCGUAAGACAAAUGUGAAGGUGCUGCAUGGUUGUCGUCAGCUCGUGCCGUGAGGUGUCGGCUUAAGUGCCAUAACGAGCGCAACCCUUAUCUUUAGUUACUAACAGGUCAUGCUGAGGACUCUAGAGAGACUGCCGUCGUAAGAUGUGAGGAAGGUGGGGAUGACGUCAAAUCAGCACGGCCCUUACGUCCGGGGCUACACACGUGUUACAAUGGGGGGUACAGAAGGCAGCUACCUGGUGACAGGAUGCUAAUCCCAAAAGCCUCUCUCAGUUCGGAUCGAAGUCUGCAACCCGACUUCGUGAAGCUGGAUUCGCUAGUAAUCGCGCAUCAGCCAUGGCGCGGUGAAUACGUUCCC